CCCUUAGAUGUUCUGGGCCGCACACGCGCUACACUGAAGGAGGCAGCGUGUACUCCUGGAUCGAAAGAUUUGGGUAACCCGCGAAUCUCCUUCGUGCCAGGGAUUGAGGUUUGCAAUUAUCCUUCAUGAACGAGGAAUUCCCAGUAAGUGCAAGUCAUAAGCUUGCGCUGACUACGUCCCUGCCCUUUGUACACACCGCCCGUCGCUACUACCGAUUGAAUGAUUUAGUGAGGACUUCGGACUGGGACCGAUGCGGCUUUCGGGCUGCGUCGGUAUUCUGGAAAGAUGGCCAAACUGUAUCAUUUAGAGGAAGUAAAAGUCGUAACA
This 327-nucleotide ribosomal RNA is filed under the name uncultured eukaryote. RNAcentral's name for it is "partial 18S ribosomal RNA". It matches the Rfam family "Eukaryotic small subunit ribosomal RNA", at positions 1470 to 1796 of the family's 1831-position model. The record is from RNAcentral.